CCCGUCAUAUCAAAUGUUUAGACACAUGCAUAGAGUACUAAAUAUAGACUAUUUACGAAACUAAAAACACAGCUGGAGAGUAAUUUGAGAGAUGAAUCUUUUAAGCCUAAUUAGUCUAUGAUUGGAUAAUAAUUGUCAAAUAAGACGAAACUGCUAUAGUAUCUGUUAAACUUUACCACCCAAACCAAACACCCCCUUAUAUCCUGCAGGACUUUGAAUAUUCUGAGUUUUAACCAUGUUGCAGCAGACAUUGCUAAUCACUUUUGUUUGAUGAUUACCAUGCUGCACUGGCCAUUUGGGUGAACAAGAUUAGGUCUGCUAUGUUGUCCAAGGGUGAAAAUCUAAGAGUUCUUUGAUAGGCUACUUGCUGCCAUAAAGUAGUGGAGUAGUCAUAUAAGUAGAGAGUCUAUCCAGUUCAGUUCAAUUUUUAGUUCAGAGUUUUUAAUGCAAGAUUGUUUGCACAAAAUCAAUGCCAGAAAGGAGCCAUCAUAUGAGACAUAGGAGGCAAGUCUAGAAAGUAUGGAUAAGAAAGGUAAGAAGCCCAUGCAUUCAGAACCCACUUUGACCGCUCCAAGUCCGACAACAUUCAGAAAUAGGGGCAUCCAUUGGUUUUCUUGGAUUUUGGAGUGAUUUAGUUGAUUCCAAACAAGGACAAUCUCUACUUUCCUACUGUCUGCAGAUCAGAGAGGAUAAUUAAUUUGACUUGAUGGUUGCCAUCCCUGAUCACCAAUAUGGGAGAAUGAUACUGUAAUUUGGAGAAGCGGACAAAUCUGGGAAGGACAUUUUCUCUUUGAAAUGUAUAACAUCUCCACUAAUAUUUUUGUGAGGCGAAUUGGAUUUUUGUACCUCAUCGGCCUGUGUUUCUGAUGUUAGGUAUACUGAAGGUGCAACUAAAUUUGAAAAUACCUUUUGAACAUUGCCCAU
RNAcentral lists this long non-coding RNA (924 nucleotides) under Sorghum bicolor (sorghum). RNAcentral describes it as "long non-coding RNA (SBIC_LNC015122)". The record is from RNAcentral. Lineage: Eukaryota; Viridiplantae; Streptophyta; Magnoliopsida; Poales; Poaceae.